This 505-nucleotide ribosomal RNA is filed under the name uncultured bacterium. RNAcentral's name for it is "partial 16S ribosomal RNA". It matches the Rfam family "Bacterial small subunit ribosomal RNA", at positions 28 to 507 of the family's 1533-position model. The record is from RNAcentral.
GACGAACGCUGGCGGCGUGCCUAAUACAUGCAAGUAGAACGCACAGUUUAUACCGUAGCUUGCUACACCAUAGACUGUGAGUUGCGAACGGGUGAGUAACGCGUAGGUAACCUGCCUGGUAGCGGGGGAUAACUAUUGGAAACGAUAGCUAAUACCGCAUAAUAUUAAUUAUCGCAUGAUAAUUAAUUGAAAGGUGCAAUUGCACCACUACCAGAUGGACCUGCGUUGUAUUAGCUAGUAGGUGAGGUAACGGCUCACCUAGGCGACGAUACAUAGCCGACCUGAGAGGGUGAUCGGCCACACUGGGACUGAGACACGGCCCAGACUCCUACGGGAGGCAGCAGUAGGGAAUCUUCGGCAAUGGACGAAAGUCUGACCGAGCAACGCCGCGUGAGUGAAGAAGGUUUUCGGAUCGUAAAGCUCUGUUGUAAGAGAAGAACGGGUGUGAGAGUGGAAAGUUCACACUGUGACGGUAUCUUACCAGAAAGGGACGGCUAACUACGUG